CGGUGAAGCCCAGCUUGCUGGGUGGAUCAGUGGCGAACGGGUGAGUAACACGUGAGCAAUCUGCCCCUGACUCUGGGAUAAGCGCUGGAAACGGCGUCUAAUACUGGAUAUGAACCGUGGAGGCAUCUUCAACGGUUGGAAAGAUUUUUUGGUCAGGGAUGAGCUCGCGGCCUAUCAGCUUGUUGGUGAGGUAAUGGCUCACCAAGGCGUCGACGGGUAGCCGGCCUGAGAGGGUGACCGGCCACACUGGGACUGAGACACGGCCCAGACUCCUACGGGAGGCAGCAGUGGGGAAUAUUGCACAAUGGGCGCAAGCCUGAUGCAGCAACGCCGCGUGAGGGAUGACGGCCUUCGGGUUGUAAACCUCUUUUAGCAGGGAAGAAGCGAAAGUGACGGUACCUGCAGAAAAAGCGCCGGCUAACUACGUGCCAGCAGCCGCGGUAAUACGUAGGGCGCAAGCGUUAUCCUCCGGAAUUAUUGGGCGUAAAGAGCUCGUAGGCGGUUUGUCGCGUCUGCUGUGAAAUCCCGAGGCUCAACCUCGGGUCUGCAGUGGGUACGGGCAGACUAGAGUGCGGUAGGGGAGAUUGGAAUUCCUGGUGUAGCGGUGGAAUGCGCAGAUAUCAGGAGGAACACCGAUGGCGAAGGCAGAUCUCUGGGCCGUAACUGACGCUGAGGAGCGAAAGGGUGGGGAGCAAACAGGCUUAGAUACCCUGGUAGUCCACCCCGUAAACGUUGGGAACUAGUUGUGGGGUCCAUUCCACGGAUUCCGUGACGCAGCUAACGCAUUAAGUUCCCCGCCUGGGGAGUACGGCCGCAAGGCUAAAACUCAAAGGAAUUGACGGGGACCCGCACAAGCGGCGGAGCAUGCGGAUUAAUUCGAUGCAACGCGAAGAACCUUACCAAGGCUUGACAUAUACGAGAACGCUGCAGAAAUGUAGAACUCUUUGGACACUCGUAAACAGGUGGUGCAUGGUUGUCGUCAGCUCGUGUCGUGAGAUGUUGGGUUAAGUCCCGCAACGAGCGCAACCCUCGUUCUAUGUUGCCAGCACGUAAUGGUGGGAACUCAUGGGAUACUGCCGGGGUCAACUCGGAGGAAGGUGGGGAUGACGUCAAAUCAUCAUGCCCCUUAUGUCUUGGGCUUCACGCAUGCUACAAUGGCCGGUACAAAGGGCUGCAAUACCGUAAGGUGGAGCGAAUCCCAAAAAGCCGGUCCCAGUUCGGAUUGAGGUCUGCAACUCGACCUCAUGAAGUCGGAGUCGCUAGUAAUCGCAGAUCAGCAACGCUGCGGUGAAUACGUUCCCGGGUCUUGUACACACCGCCCGUCAAGUCAUGAAAGUCGGUAACACCUGAAGCCG
This 1355-nucleotide ribosomal RNA is filed under the name Microbacterium flavescens. RNAcentral's name for it is "bacterial SSU rRNA". It matches the Rfam family "Bacterial small subunit ribosomal RNA", at positions 67 to 1429 of the family's 1533-position model. The record is from RNAcentral. Lineage: Bacteria; Bacillati; Actinomycetota; Actinomycetes; Micrococcales; Microbacteriaceae.